Molecule: long non-coding RNA, 360 nt
Organism: Manis javanica (Malayan pangolin)
Lineage: Eukaryota; Metazoa; Chordata; Mammalia; Pholidota; Manidae
Source: RefSeq, a predicted model, not a curated record
AAGGCAAAGUCGAUCGAGAAAUCUCUGGAGAGGAGUCUGACUGGAUUCCACAAUUCCGUAGCUGUGAAGACUUCAAAAGUAUGACACUGCAAUCACUGGAUGGCUUUAUGAUAAUACUGAGCACAGAUGGAGUGAUAAUUUUCGUUGGUGAAAAUAUCUCUUCCCUCCUUGGCCACUUACCAUUGAAAUCCUAUCAGACGUCCAAGUUGAGUUAUCUAUGAGUUCAGGGAGAAGUCUGGACUGGAGGUGGAAGUUGGGAAUCUUCUGAUCAUUAUGAAAAGAGGGACAUUUCAUGAUGAUCAAGGAGUCAACCAAGGAAACAGGAUAAUCCUAAAUGGGUAUACACCUAAUCACAACACU